UGAAUACGAGACGCUAAGGCGUCGAAGUAGUGUAUGUCAUACUUCCAAGAAAAGCUUGCACUGUCAUAGAUAAAAAACGCCUGUACCAUAACCGACACAGGUGGGUAGGUAGAGUAUACUAAGGGGCGCGAGAUAACUCUCUCUAAGGAACUCGGCAAAAUAACUCCGUAACUUCGGGAGAAGGAGUGCCUUAUUUUUAAGGCUGCAAUAACAAGAUCCAAGCAACUGUUUAUCAAAAACACAGGUCUCCGCUAAGUCGUAAGACGAUGUAUGGGGGCUGACGCCUGCCCAGUGCCAGAAGGUUAAAGAAGUUGGUUAGCUUUUGCGAAGCUGAUAACUGAAGCCCUGGUGAACGGCGGCCGUAACCAUAACGGUCCUAAGGUAGCGAAAUUCCUUGUCGGGUAAGUUCCGACCCGCACGAAAGGCGUAAUGAUUUGGAUACUGUCUCGGAGAGGGGCUCGGUGAAAUAGACUUGUCUGUGAAGAUGCGGACUACCUGCACCAGGACAGAAAGACCCUAUGAAGCUUUACUGUAACUUGAAAUUGAAAUUGGACUUUAUUCGCGCAGCAUAGGUGGGAGGCGUUGAUUAUAAUCUCGUGGGAUUAUUGGAGCCAUCAGUGAGAUACCACUCUUGUAAUGUUAGAUUUCUAACUUUGAAUCAUUAUCUGGUCAAAGAACAGUUUCAGGCGGGCAGUUUGACUGGGGCGGUCGCCUCCUAAACGGUAACGGAGGCGUACAAAGGUUUCCUCUGAACGGUUAGAAAUCGUAUCUAGAGUGUAAAGGCAUAAGGAAGCUUGACUGUGAGACCUACAAGUCGAGCAGGGACGAAAGUCGGUCUUAGUGAUCUGACGGUACUGAGUGGAAAGGCCGUCACUCAACGGAUAAAAGUUACUCUAGGAUAACAGGCUGAUCUCCCCCAAGAGUUCACAUCGACGGGGAGGUUUGGCACCUCGAUGUCGGCUCAUCGCAUCCUGGGGCGGUAGUACGUCCCAAGGGUUGGGCUGUUCGCUCAUGAAAGCGGUACGCGAGCUGGGUUCAGAACGUCGUGAGACAGUUCGGUCCAUAUCCGGUGUAGGCGUUAGAAUAUUGAGAGGAGCCUUCUUUAGUACGAGAGGACCGAGAAGGACAUACCUCUGGUGUACCAGUUAUCGUGCCAACGGUAAACGCUGGGUAGCUAUGUAUGGAGUGGAUAACCGCUGAAAGCAUCUAAGUGGGAAGCCCACCUCAAGAUAAGUAUUCUCC
RNAcentral lists this ribosomal RNA (1242 nucleotides) under metagenome. RNAcentral describes it as "bacterial LSU rRNA". It matches the Rfam family "Bacterial large subunit ribosomal RNA", at positions 1564 to 2816 of the family's 2925-position model. The record is from RNAcentral.